This 70-nucleotide ribosomal RNA is filed under the name Ligilactobacillus agilis. The record is from RNAcentral. Lineage: Bacteria; Bacillati; Bacillota; Bacilli; Lactobacillales; Lactobacillaceae.
UGCGGUGACGAUGGCAUGAAGGCUACACCUGUUCCCAUUCCGAACACAGAAGUUAAGCUUCAUAGCGCCG